GGAGUUUGGGCCGUGUCUCAGUCCCAAUGUGGCCGGUCACCCUCUCAGGUCGGCUAUGGAUCGUCGGUUUGGUGGGCCGUUACCCCGCCAACUGCCUAAUCCAACGCGGGUCCAUCUCACACCACCGGAGUUUUUCACACUCUGCCAUGCGGCACUGUGCGCUUAUGCGGUAUUAGCAGUCGUUUCCAACUGUUGUCCCCCAGUGUGAGGCAGGUUACCCACGCGUUACUCACCCGUCCGCCACUAAGUCAUAAACCAAAUCAUUCCGAAAAAAUCAUUAGUAAAUGCUUCGUUCGACUUGCAUGUGUUAAGCACGCCGCCAGCGUUCAUC
RNAcentral lists this ribosomal RNA (331 nucleotides) under uncultured Ruminococcus sp. RNAcentral's name for it is "partial 16S ribosomal RNA". The record is from RNAcentral. Lineage: Bacteria; Bacillati; Bacillota; Clostridia; Eubacteriales; Oscillospiraceae.